UUGGAGGGCAAGUCUGGUGCCAGCAGCCGCGGUAAUUCCAGCUCCAAUAGCGUAUAUUAAAGUUGUUGCAGUUAAAAAGCUCGUAGUUGAAUUUCGGGAUUGACACAUCGGUCGUGCCUUAAGGGGUAUGAACUGGUGUAGUCAGUUUCUCACCUUCUGGAGAACCGCGAUGUCCUUAAUUGGGUGCCGCGAGGAACCAGGACCUUUACUUUGAAAAAAUUAGAGUGUUUAAAGCAGGCAUUUUGCUUGAAUACAUUAGCAUGGGAUAAUAAAAUAGGACGGAUGGUUCUAUUUUGUUGGUUUCUAGGAUCACCGUAAUGAUUAAUAGGGAUAGUUGGGGGCAUUAGUAUUCAAUUGUCAGAGGUGAAAUUCUUGGAUUUAUUGAAGACUAACUACUGCGAAAGCAUUUGCCAAGGAUGUUUUCAUUAAUCAAGAACGAAAGUUAGGGGAUCGAAGACGAUCAGAUACCGUCGUAGUCUUAACCAUAAACUAUGCCGACUAGGAAUCAGACGGUGUUAAUUUUUUAAUGACUCGUUUGGCACCUUACGGGAAACCAAAGUGUUUGGGUUC
This 570-nucleotide ribosomal RNA is filed under the name uncultured Glomeromycotina. RNAcentral's name for it is "SSU rRNA". It matches the Rfam family "Eukaryotic small subunit ribosomal RNA", at positions 548 to 1114 of the family's 1831-position model. The record is from RNAcentral. Lineage: Eukaryota; Fungi; Glomeromycota.